CUGGAUAGCAACAUACAUAGCAAGAGUGUUGAAGGUUUCAAACAUUAUUUGAGUCAUCUCCUCACGGUUAGCCUUAGGAUUGAGAGAAGAACCUGGAUAGCAACAAACAUAGCAUGAGUGUUGAAUGUUUCAAACAUGAAUUAUUUCAAACAGUUGCCUACAAUAUCCAUUAGAUCGGGGUGAGUGAUUAUCAACUAAUGGGUAUAUCAGAGGAAUGCAUGUCAAUCAGCACCAGAUUUCACAAUCCGGAUUCUAAUUGAGCAAAACUCCAUAAUGUUCACACUUCUAAACUUCCAUUUGACUCAAACUGAGAGCAGAAGAGAAAAGAUAGCGACUCUAUAGCCAUGAUGCAACAUAUGAUGAAUGUUUCA
Long non-coding RNA from Magnolia sinica, 371 nucleotides. RefSeq lists it as uncharacterized. NCBI's taxonomy places the organism in Eukaryota, Viridiplantae, Streptophyta, Magnoliopsida, Magnoliales, Magnoliaceae. The record is from RefSeq and is a predicted model, not a curated record. The transcript has 2 exons.